Molecule: non-coding RNA, 1418 nt
Organism: Macaca mulatta (Rhesus monkey)
Lineage: Eukaryota; Metazoa; Chordata; Mammalia; Primates; Cercopithecidae
Source: RefSeq, a predicted model, not a curated record
GCCCCGCGCGAGCCGGGCUCCCCCGGCGCCCUCCCGCAUCCGCCGCUCCCGGCCCCGCCUGGCCGCAGGGCCCGGGUAGGAAGGACGGGACCGGCCCGGUGGAGACCUGGCCCCACUGCCAGAGGGUCCCUGGAGAUGCCAUUCUGAGCUGAGAAGCGGCUGCUCUGGCCGAGGCCGUUUGCGUGGCAGCGCUUGCAGGUCUGCGGGUUAGUCCCAUCCUCAAGCGACAUUCUGGGUCCCGGGCAGAAAAAGUCAGGCCACUGAAGGGGCCGCUGUGAGGACAGGGGUGAGGAGAAGGGGGUUGACUUUUCGGCCUGCCUUCGCGGCGUUCCUAAUACCCGAGCUGCCGUUUAACAUACGCGUGGCUCUUCAGCUCAGCCAAGUUCAUUUUUCUGUAUGUAGCUGAAAAUGAUUCUAGAAGCAAAACUGGCUGUCCGUGUCUGAAACAGGAAACUUGCAUUCUGGAGCAAAACUCUUUCUCAGUAGAGCAAAUCCUGCAACUGGUGUGGGCAGAAACCCAGUCCUCAGAAGUACAGGUAGAAACGUGGAGAUCCCAGCAGACCCCCGCAUCCUUCCUAACUAGGAAAUGAGCAGAGGCUGUGGCCGCACGCAGUCACGGGAGGCCUGGGUAAUUGUGUUCUCUUUCUUCUCCAUGUAUGGCCUAGAGCACCUCAUCCACUCAGAUGACUUCAUUCGUGGCUGCUACAGAAAUGUCAGCCUUUUCAGUGUAAUCUAUCUGGACAAUUCACUGGCAUUUCAGAUGGGAAGUGUUUUUUUAAAAAACUGAUUUUUAAAAACUUCAUCUCCUAUCCCAAACUCUCAGGCCUCUCUCCAAACCUUUCAAUUUUAAUCAAUGGCAUUUCCAUUCUCCUAGCAGACCACCCACCGUGAUCAUCUGGCUUUGUUCUUACAGAAGCCAGGUUGAAGCUUACCCCAUACCCAAGUAACCCCAUCCAAUGGGAAAUUCCAAAUCAAGGUCUCCAAAGAGGGAUUUCUGUGUUUAGCUGUUUACCCACCCAUUCGGCGAGUAGCAGACCCUGACUGUGCUAGACACUGGAAGAAUGGCCGAUGGAGGAAGAGGACCCACGCCAAAGUCGAGCAGUAAAGGAAAGAGACAAACAUAUAAACGGGAGACUAUUGUAUGAUGUGAAAUGUCUGAGGCUUGGUGUAGUUGCUUCAUUUUGGUAACUCUUCUCAUUCAAGAAAUGAGUAUAAAUUCCAGAGACUCCAAACCUUGAAUUCAACUGAAACCAACCCCCAAGUAAAGGAGAAGAUGCUCAGGAUGGCUGGAGUUUGAACCUAGUCAACUGGUAGGUGAGUGUGUGUGUUUGUGAUGGGGGGAAAAUCUGGGUUUUGUUUGAAUUCCCAAGACUGCCCUAGAUGAGGAAGAAACUAAUACAGACUCUUCCUAAUCUGAA